GAUGAACGCUGGCGGCGUGCCUAAUACAUGCAAGUCGAGCGAACAGACGAGGAGCUUGCUCCUCUGACGUUAGCGGCGGACGGGUGAGUAACACGUGGGUAACCUACCUAUAAGACUGGGAUAAAUUCGGGAAACCGGAGCUAAUACCGGAUAAUAUAUUGAACCGCAUGGUUCAAUAGUGAAAGACGGUUUUGCUGUCACUUAUAGAUGGAUCCGCGCCGCAUUAGCUAGUUGGUAAGGUAACGGCUUACCAAGGCAACGAUGCGUAGCCGACCUGAGAGGGUGAUCGGCCACACUGGAACUGAGACACGGUCCAGACUCCUACGGGAGGCAGCAGUAGGGAAUUUUCGGCAAUGGGCGAAAGCCUGACGGAGCAACGCCGCGUGAGUGAUGAAGGUCUUCGGAUCGUAAAACUCUGUUAUUAGGGAAGAACAAAUGUGUAAGUAACUAUGCACGUCUUGACGGUACCUAAUCAGAAAGCCACGGCUAACUACGUG
This 497-nucleotide ribosomal RNA is filed under the name uncultured bacterium. RNAcentral describes it as "partial 16S ribosomal RNA". It matches the Rfam family "Bacterial small subunit ribosomal RNA", at positions 28 to 507 of the family's 1533-position model. The record is from RNAcentral.